ACUGAUCCAGAAGGAGACUCUCACAGUACCAAUACUAUAAAAUUUGCAGAACAACUUACUGGAGCCUUUUCAAAUCAAUUCUUGAGAGAGGAAUAUUUAAAAGAAGAAAUUCCUUUCUAUGAAAAAGGUUCAUUUUGUAUAAAUAUCCUUGUUUUCCAAUGGCAUGACAAAGAGAGCAAAGGGGAGGAGAGAAAAAGAAGAAGAAAAAAGAAGAAAGGAUAAAAGAGUAUGAAAGGAAAGUGGAGAAAGAAGCAGCUCUUUAUUUUUUAUUCACAUGGUUUUACUAUUUGUAUGCCAACAUUUUGAUACAUUGGUUUUUAUAAAUCCAUUUUUCAUUAAACAAUGAUCAAUUA
Non-coding RNA from Pelodiscus sinensis (Chinese soft-shelled turtle), 353 nucleotides. The record is from RefSeq and is a predicted model, not a curated record. Lineage: Eukaryota; Metazoa; Chordata; Testudines; Trionychidae.